This 486-nucleotide ribosomal RNA is filed under the name uncultured bacterium. Its description in RNAcentral is "partial 16S ribosomal RNA". It matches the Rfam family "Bacterial small subunit ribosomal RNA", at positions 30 to 507 of the family's 1533-position model. The record is from RNAcentral.
AUUGAACGCUGGCGGCAUGCCUUACACAUGCAAGUCGAACGGCAGCACGGGUGCUUGCACCUGGUGGCGAGUGGCGAACGGGUGAGUAAUACAUCGGAACAUGUCCUCUAGUGGGGGAUAGCCCGGCGACAGCCGGAUUAAUACCGCAUACGAUCUACGGAUGAAAGCGGGGGACCUCCGGGCCUCGCGCUAUAGGGUUGGCCGAUGGCUGAUUAGCUAGUUGGUGGGGUAAAGGCCUACCAAGGCUACGAUCAGUAGCUGGUCUGAGAGGACGACCAGCCACACGGGGACUGAGACAGGGCCGAGACUCCUACGGGAGGCAGCAGUGGGGAAUUUUGGACAAGGGGCGAAAGCCUGAUCCAGCAAUGCCGCGUGUGUGAAGAAGGCCUUCUGGUUGUAAAGCACUUUUGUCCGGAAAGUAAUCCUUGGCCCUAAUACGGUCGGGGGAUGACGGUACCGGAAGAAUAAGCACCGGCUAACUACGUG